Non-coding RNA from Pan troglodytes (chimpanzee), 147 nucleotides. It matches the Rfam family "Metazoan signal recognition particle RNA". From Rfam's summary of the family: The signal recognition particle (SRP) is a universally conserved ribonucleoprotein. It is involved in the co-translational targeting of proteins to membranes. The record is from Rfam. NCBI's taxonomy places the organism in Eukaryota, Metazoa, Chordata, Mammalia, Primates, Hominidae.
GCUGGGCUUGGUGACGCACGCCUGUAGUCCCAGCUACUUGGAGGCUGAGGCAGGAGAAUUGCUUGAACCCAGGAGGCGGAGGUUGCAGUGGGCCGAGAUUGUGCCACUGCACUCCAGCCUGGGCGACAGAGUGAGACUCCGUCUCAA